Pocillopora verrucosa is the source of this 433-nucleotide non-coding RNA. Lineage: Eukaryota; Metazoa; Cnidaria; Anthozoa; Scleractinia; Pocilloporidae. The record is from RefSeq and is a predicted model, not a curated record.
ACUCAAGAACGAUGGAGAUAACUGCAUACUUUGACACCAAAGAAUCCAAAAAACGGUACCUGAAGCAUAAAUUACAUUUCAGCAUAUCUGACUCUUUUAUGGAGUUUUUUAAUGGAAAAAUAGAGUCCAGCAAAGCGGCUGAAAAACUCAAUGGAGACCAAUUUUGACGUUCAGGUCAACCGUGAAAGGAUUCCCCAUAGCCAGAUGGUAACAAACAUGUUCUUGUGCCUGUGAUUGAUUCCCUUCAGCAGAAUGCCAAAUCACGUUUUCAUGGUCUGAGGGACACCAUUGGUUUUAACUUGGCUGGGCUGUGUUUCAUUCAAAACGAGAUAGAAGCUAGAGAGGAGAAUCUUUUUGCAAACGCGACCUGAAAAAGUGAGAAAGAGUCGGAAGAAAUACAAAUCGAAUUUUGUAUAAGUUGUGAAAUAACUGU